RNAcentral lists this ribosomal RNA (431 nucleotides) under uncultured bacterium. RNAcentral's name for it is "partial 16S ribosomal RNA". It matches the Rfam family "Bacterial small subunit ribosomal RNA", at positions 29 to 507 of the family's 1533-position model. The record is from RNAcentral.
AGCGAACGCUGGCGGCAGGCUUAACACAUGCAAGUCGAGCGCCCCGCCAGGGGAGCGGCAGACGGGCGAGUAACACGUGGGAACCUACCUUUUGGUUCGGAACAAUUGAGGGAAACUUCAGCUAAUACCGGAUAAGCCCUUACGGGGAAAGAUUUAUCGCCGAAAGGUUGGCCCGCGUCGGAUUAGCUAGUUGGUGAGGUAACGGCUCACCAAGGCGACGAUCAGUAGCUGGUCUGAGAGGAUGAUCAGCCUCACUGGGACUGGGACACGGCCCAGACUCCUACGGGAGGCAGCAGAGGGGAAUAUUGGACAAUGGGGUCAACCCUGAACCAGCCAUGCCGCGUGAGUGAUGAAGGCCUUAGGGUUGUAAAGCUCUUUUGCCCGGGAAGAUAAUGACGGUACCGGAAGAAUAAGCCCCGGCUAACUUCGUG